UACGAAGGGUGCAAGCGUUACUCGGAAUUACUGGGCGUAAAGCGUGCGUAGGUGGUGAGUUAAGUCUGUCGUGAAAGCCCCGGGCUCAACCUGGGAAUGGCAUUGGAUACUGGCGACCUAGAGUGCGGUAGAGGGGUGUGGAAUUCCCGGUGUAGCAGUGAAAUGCGUAGAUAUCGGGAGGAACAUCUGUGGCGAAGGCGACACCCUGGACCAGCACUGACACUGAGGCACGAAAGCGUGGGGAGCAAACAGG
This 253-nucleotide ribosomal RNA is filed under the name uncultured bacterium. RNAcentral's name for it is "partial 16S ribosomal RNA". It matches the Rfam family "Bacterial small subunit ribosomal RNA", at positions 524 to 776 of the family's 1533-position model. The record is from RNAcentral.